Molecule: ribosomal RNA, 468 nt
Filed under: uncultured bacterium
Lineage: Bacteria
Description: partial 16S ribosomal RNA
Rfam family: Bacterial small subunit ribosomal RNA
Source: RNAcentral
GAUGAACGCUGGCGGCGUGCUUAACACAUGCAAGUCGAACGGAAAGGCCCUGCUUUUGUGGGGUGCUCGAGUGGCGAACGGGUGAGUAACACGUGAGUAACCUGCCCUUGACUUUGGGAUAACUUCAGGAAACUGGGGCUAAUACCGGAUAGGAGCUCCUGCUGCAUGGUGGGGGUUGGAAAGUUUCGGCGGUUGGGGUUGGACUCGCGGCUUAUCAGCUUGUUAGUGGGGUAGUGGCUUACCAAGGCUUUGACGGGUAGCCGGCCUGAGAGGGUGACCGGCCACAUUGGGACUGCGAUACGGCCCAGACUCCUACGGGAGGCAGCAGUGGGGAAUAUUGCACAAUGGGCGGAAGCCUGAUGCAGCAACGCCGCGUGCGGGAUGACGGCCUUCGGGUUGUAAACCGCUUUCGCCUGUGACGAAGCGUGAGUGACGGUAAUGGGUAAAGAAGCACCGGCUAACUACGUG